CCUACGGGAGGCAGCAGUGGGGAAUUUUGGACAAUGGGCGCAAGCCUGAUCCAGCCAUGCCGCGUGCAGGAUGAAGGCCUUCGGGUUGUAAACUGCUUUUGUACGGAACGAAAAGACUCCUUCUAAUAAAGGGGGUUCAUGACGGUACCGUAAGAAUAAGCACCGGCUAACUACGUGCCAGCAGCCGCGGUAAUACGUAGGGUGCGAGCGUUAAUCGGAAUUACUGGGCGUAAAGCGUGCGCAGGCGGUGAUGUAAGACAGAUGUGAAAUCCCCGGGCUCAACCUGGGACCUGCAUUUGUGACUGCAUCGCUAGAGUACGGUAGAGGGGGAUGGAAUUCCGCGUGUAGCAGUGAAAUGCGUAGAUAUGCGGAGGAACACCGAUGGCGAAGGCAACCCCCUGGACCUGUACUGACGCUCAUGCACGAAAGCGUGGGGAGCAAACAGGAUUAGAUACCCUGGUAG
RNAcentral lists this ribosomal RNA (463 nucleotides) under uncultured bacterium. RNAcentral describes it as "bacterial SSU rRNA". It matches the Rfam family "Bacterial small subunit ribosomal RNA", at positions 338 to 793 of the family's 1533-position model. The record is from RNAcentral.